Molecule: ribosomal RNA, 2907 nt
Filed under: freshwater metagenome
Description: bacterial LSU rRNA
Rfam family: Bacterial large subunit ribosomal RNA
Source: RNAcentral
UCAAGUUAUAAAGGGCGCAUGGUGAAUGCCUUGGCACCAGGAGUCGAAGAAGGACGCGAUAAGCUGCGAUAAGCUUUGGGUAGGCGCAAAUAGCCUGUGAUCCAAAGAUUUCCGAAUGGGGCAACCCAGUGAGCAAACGCUCAUUACUGUAUACUAAAUACAUAGGUAUAUAGGGACACACCUAGGGAACUGAAACAUCUAAGUACCUAGAGGAAGAGAAAGAAAAAUCGAUUUUCUAAGUAGCGGCGAGCGAAAGGGAAAGAGCCCAAACCAGUAACUUGUUACUGGGGUUGCGGAUAGGCUAUAAAAUGGAGAGGUAUCUUAAUCGAAUAAAGCUGGAAAGCUUAACCGUAGAAGGUAAUAGUCCUGUAGAUGAAAAGAGAAGACUCCAAGCCUAAUCCAGAGUACCACGAGACACGAGAAACCUUGUGGGAAGCAGGGAGGACCACCUCCCAAGGCUAAAUACUACCUGGUGACCGAUAGUGAAGAAGUACCGUGAGGGAAAGGUGAAAAGAACCCCGGGAGGGGAGUGAAAUAGAACCUGAAACCGUGUGUCUACAACCAAUCGAAGCACUUUUACGUGCGACGAUGUGCUUUUUGUAGAACGAGCCAACGAGUUACGGUAUGCAGCAAGGUUAAGUACUUAAGGUACGGAGCCGAAGGGAAACCGAGUCUUAAUAGGGCGAAGAGUUGCAUGCUGUAGACCCGAAACCGAGUGACCUAUCCAUGGACAGGGUGAAGCGGAAGUAAAAUUCCUUGGAGGCCCGAACCACAUUGGUGUUGAAAAACCAUGGGAUGAGCUGUGGAUAGCGGAGAAAUUCCAAUCGAACUCGGAGAUAGCUGGUUCUCCUCGAAAUAGCUUUAGGGCUAGCGUCUGGUAAUUGAGUUAUGGAGGUAGAGCACUGAAUAGGCUAGGGGCGUUACAACGUUACUGAACCUUAUCAAACUCCGAAUGCCAUAUACUUUUAUCCAGGCAGUCAGACUGCGAGUGAUAAGAUCCGUAGUCAAAAGGGAAACAGCCCAGAUCAUCAGCUAAGGUCCCAAAGUAUAGGUUAAGUGGAAAAGGAUGUGGGAUUUCAUAGACAACUAGGAUGUUGGCUUAGAAGCAGCCACUCAUUCAAAGAGUGCGUAAUAGCUCACUAGUCGAGAGAUCCUGCGCCGAAGAUGUCCGGGGCUAAAACCUAUCACCGAAGCUAUGGACUUAGUCGAAUGACUAAGUGGUAGAGGAGCAUCCUGUAUUGGUAGAAGUCAUACCGUAAGGAGUGGUGGACGAUACAGGAGAGAGAAUGUUGGCAUAAGUAGCGAGAAAUAAGUGAGAAUCUUAUUGGUCGAAAACCUAAGGUUUCCUGAGGAAGGCUCGUCCGCUCAGGGUUAGUCGGGACCUAAGCCGAGGCCGAAAGGCGUAGGCGAUGGACAAUUGGUUGAUAUUCCAAUACCACUAAUGGACGUUAUUAGAGAUGGGGUGACGCAGGAGGAUAGGAUGAGCGUACUGUUGGAAUAGUACGUCUAAGCAUCAAGUCAGACUCUUUAGGCAAAUCCGGAGAGUUAAUGGUGAGGUGUAAAAGAUAACCCUUUAAUGGGUGAAGCAUCCGAUUUCACGCUGCCAAGAAAAGCCUCUAUCGAGGAAAUUAGUGCCCGUACCGCAAACCGACACAGGUAGGUGAGGAGAGAAUCCUAAGACCAGCGGAAGAACUGCUGUUAAGGAACUCGGCAAAUUAACCCCGUAACUUCGGGAGAAGGGGUGCCUGAGCAAUCAGGUCGCAGUGAAAUGGCCCAAGCAACUGUUUAACAAAAACACAGGUCUCUGCUAAAGCGUAAGCUGAUGUAUAGGGGCUGACGCCUGCCCGGUGCUGGAAGGUUAAGGGGAUCACUUAGCGCAAGCGAAGGUGUGAACUUAAGCCCCAGUAAACGGCGGCCGUAACUAUAACGGUCCUAAGGUAGCGAAAUUCCUUGUCGGGUAAGUUCCGACCCGCACGAAAGGCGUAACGAUCUGGGCGCUGUCUCGGAGAGAGGCUCGGCGAAAUAGAAUUGUCUGUGAAGAUGCGGACUACGUGCACCCGGACAGAAAGACCCUAUGAAGCUUUACUGUAGCUUGGUAUUGUGCUCGGGCUCGGAAUGCGCAGGAUAGGUGGGAGGCUUUGAUCCAUUGCUUGCGGGUGAUGGUGAGCCAACGGUGAGAUACCACUCUUUUCGAGCUUAAGUUCUAACGGUCACCCGUUAUCCGGGGACCGGACAGUAUCAGGUGGGCAGUUUGACUGGGGCGGUCGCCUCCUAAAAGGUAACGGAGGCGCGCAAAGGUUCCCUCAGGCUGGUUGGAAAUCAGCCGACGAGUGUAAAGGCAGAAGGGAGCUUGACUGUGAGACCUACAAGUCGAACAGGGACGAAAGUCGGCCUUAGUGAUCCGACGGUUCUGAGUGGAAGGGCCGUCGCUCAACGGAUAAAAGUUACUCUAGGGAUAACAGGCUGAUCUCCCCCAAGAGUUCACAUCGACGGGGAGGUUUGGCACCUCGAUGUCGGCUCAUCGCAACCUGGGGCUGAAGUCGGUCCCAAGGGUUGGGCUGUUCGCCCAUUAAAGCGGUACGCGAGCUGGGUUCAGAACGUCGUGAGACAGUUCGGUCCAUAUCCGGUGCAUGCGCAGGAACAUUGAGAGGAUUUCUCCCUAGUACGAGAGGACCGGGAGGAACGCACCUCUGGUGUACCAGUUAUCGUGCCAACGGUAAACGCUGGGUAGCCAUGUGCGGAGAGGAUAACCGCUGAAAGCAUCUAAGUGGGAAGCCCACCUCAAGAUGAGUGUUCCCAUGGCGUUAGCCAGUAAGGUCACGGGAAGAACACCCGUUGAUAGGCUCUACGUGGAAGCGUGGCAACACGUGAAGCGGAGGAGUACUAAUAGACCGAGGGCUUGACCAU